RNAcentral lists this ribosomal RNA (108 nucleotides) under uncultured bacterium. Its description in RNAcentral is "partial 16S ribosomal RNA". It matches the Rfam family "Bacterial small subunit ribosomal RNA", at positions 355 to 462 of the family's 1533-position model. The record is from RNAcentral.
UGGGGAAUAUUGCACAAUGGGCGGCAAGCCUGAUGCAGCGACGCCGCGUGCGGGAUGGAGGCCUUCGGGUUGUAACCGCUUUGUUCAAGGGCAAGGCAGGCUUUCGGG